CGACGUGGAGAACCUGCCGUAUACUGGGGGAUAACACUUAGAAAUAGGUGCUAAUACCGCAUAAGCGCACAGCUUCGCAUGAAGCAGUGUGGAAAACAAAAAGCUAAAGCUUUUGGUGGUAUACGAUGGAUCCGCGUCUGAUUAGCUAGUUGGCGGGGUAAAGGCCCACCAAGGCGACGAUCAGUAGCCGGCCUGAGAGGGUGAACGGCCACAUUGGGACUGAGACACAGCCCAAACUCCUACGGGAGGCAGCAG
This 255-nucleotide ribosomal RNA is filed under the name uncultured bacterium. RNAcentral describes it as "partial 16S ribosomal RNA". It matches the Rfam family "Bacterial small subunit ribosomal RNA", at positions 113 to 354 of the family's 1533-position model. The record is from RNAcentral.